GGACUUUUAGCUCAGUUGGUUAGAGCCUCCAGCUCAUAACUGGAUGGUCGUAGGUUCGAGUCCUACAUGGUCCA
This 74-nucleotide transfer RNA is filed under the name Levilactobacillus suantsaii. It matches the Rfam family "tRNA". Rfam says of the family: Transfer RNA (tRNA) molecules are approximately 80 nucleotides in length. Their secondary structure includes four short double-helical elements and three loops (D, anti-codon, and T loops). Lineage: Bacteria; Bacillati; Bacillota; Bacilli; Lactobacillales; Lactobacillaceae. The record is from Rfam by way of RNAcentral.